Vicugna pacos (alpaca) is the source of this 1791-nucleotide non-coding RNA. The record is from RefSeq and is a predicted model, not a curated record. Lineage: Eukaryota; Metazoa; Chordata; Mammalia; Artiodactyla; Camelidae.
GCCUGUGAGGGUGGAGCUUGUGACGCUGUCGCCCAGGUCUCCGGCGCUUCUUUACUCAUUCCGUUGGCUGCUGCUCCUGCUGGAAAACUGUGGCGAGGUCUGCGGGGAACCGCACCUAUGGCUUCCGUGCUGUCCUACGAAAGCCUGGUCCACGCCGUGGCAGGAGCCGUGGGAAGCAUGACAGCAAUGACAGUAUUUUUUCCCUUGGAUACAGCUCGACUUCGACUACAAGUUGAUGAGAAAAGAAAGUCCAAAACAACACACAUGGUGCUCCUGGAGAUCAUUAAAGAAGAAGGCCUCCUGGCACCGUAUCGAGGGUGGUUUCCAGUUAUCUCCAGUCUCUGCUGCUCCAAUUUUGUCUAUUUCUACACUUUUAAUAGCCUCAAAGCAGUCUGGGUCAAAGGUCAACACUCUACUACUGGAAAAGAUCUAGUAGUUGGAUUUGUUGCAGGGGUAGUGAACGUGCUGCUAACAACUCCACUCUGGGUGGUAAACACCAGGCUGAAGCUGCAGGGGGCAAAAUUUAGAAAUGAAGACAUUGUACCAACCAACUACAGUGGUAUUAUUGAUGCUUUUCACCAGAUCAUUCGGGAUGAAGGAAUCUCGGCUUUAUGGAAUGGCACAUUUCCUUCCUUGCUGCUGGUCUUCAAUCCUGCCAUCCAAUUCAUGUUCUAUGAAGGUUUAAAACGGCAGCUUUUAAAGAAACAAAUGAAGCUUUCUUCUUUGGAUGUGUUCAUCAUUGGUGCACUAGCCAAAGCAAUUGCCACCACGGUCACCUAUCCCAUGCAGACGGUACAGUCAAUCCUGAGGUUUGGACGUCACAGACUAAACCCAGAAAACAGAACACUGGGGAGUCUUCGGAACAUUCUCUAUCUUCUUCACCAGCGAGUAAGCAGGCGCACACCUGUCCACCACGGCGUGGCUCCCAGGAGAGCACUGGGCUUGCUGGCGGACAGGGGGAGACUGGCCCUGUGCCUGGCCGCUGGCAGGAGGAAGGCUGUGGAAUCAACAGGCCUCAGUUUCCAGCCUGGUUCUGCUCCAUUUACGUGUGAGUAACUUCAACCAUGUUAGUCCAUAUUCCUGACCCUCCAUUUCAACAUCUGCAAAAUGAAAGAAGCCACUCUCCUCCCAAAAAGUCACAGGAAUAUGUCUACUUCAUCAGAGCUGAUGGGAGACAGAGAAACAUGGGUGGGGGGUUCUGGAAGGAAAAGUUUCUCUCCUCCAUGUGGUCUUGAACAAGGAAACACGUGAGCCCAGGAGCAGCUGACAGCCCUUCAGACCGUAAGGGAAGAGCCUGCCUGGGAGUGGAGCCAGUCCUCACGCCUCACCUGGAGCCAGAGCUGCCCUGGACCAUUCGUCUAAGGGAGACAAUAGACCUGCUUUGUUAGUUCAGACAGCUCGAGAUGAGUUUUCUGUUUCUUGCAACAUCAUUAAGUCCUAAUUGAUCAUAGCAGGUUGAAUGGUGGUCCUGCAAAUGAUAGGUCCACAGCUAAACCCCUGGAAUCUGUGAAUGUGACCUUAUUUGGGAAAAGGGUCUUUGCAGAUGUAAUUGAGUUAAAGGGUUAUCCAGGCAGGUCUUAAAUCCAGUGACGUGUGUCCUUAUAAGAGACACACAGAGGAGAGACACAGAAAGAUGGAUACAGAGAUUGGAGUUGUGCAGCCAGGGUGCACCCGGAGCUGCCAGAAGCCGAAGAGGCAAGUCUCCCCAGAGAGAGCACAGCCCUGCCAGCACCCUGAUUUUGGACUCUGGCCUCCAGAACCACAGGAGAAUAAAUAUCAGUUGUUUUAAAC